RNAcentral lists this unclassified non-coding RNA (431 nucleotides) under soil metagenome. RNAcentral's name for it is "partial contains 5.8S ribosomal RNA, internal transcribed spacer 2, and large subunit ribosomal RNA". The stretch from base 1 to 120 matches the Rfam family "5.8S ribosomal RNA", at positions 35 to 154 of the family's 154-position model. The record is from RNAcentral.
GAUGAAGAACGUAGCGAAAUGCGAUACGUAAUGUGAAUUGCAGAAUUCAGCGAAUCAUCGAAUCUUUGAACGCAUAUUGCGCUCUCUGGUAUUCCGGAGAGCAUGCUUGUUUGAGUAUCAGUAAACACCUCAACUUCCAUAUCUUUUUUGAAAUGGGAGUUGGACUUGAGUGAUCCCAACGCUUUUCCUCACCGAAAAGUGGCGGGUUACUUGAAAUGCAGGUGCAGCUGGACUUUUCUCUGAGCUAUAAGCAUAUCUAUUUAGUCUGCCUAAAAAACAGAUUAUUACCUUUGCUGCAGCUAACAUAAAGGAGAUUAGUUCUUGUGCUGACUGAUGCAGGAUUCACAAAGACAGCUUCGGCCGACUUUGUAAACUCGAUCUCAAAUCAAGUAAGACUACCCGCUGAACUUAAGCAUACAAUAAGCGGAGGA